RNAcentral lists this ribosomal RNA (514 nucleotides) under uncultured bacterium. RNAcentral describes it as "partial 16S ribosomal RNA". It matches the Rfam family "Bacterial small subunit ribosomal RNA", at positions 28 to 523 of the family's 1533-position model. The record is from RNAcentral.
GAUGAACGCUGGCGGCGUGCCUAAUACAUGCAAGUCGAGCGAACGUCAUAGAAGCUUGCUUCUAUGACGUUAGCGGCGGACGGGUGAGUAACACGUGGGCAACCUGCCUGUAAGACUGGGAUAACUUCGGGAAACCGAAGCUAAUACCGGAUAGGAUCUUCUCCUUCAUGGGAGAUGAUUGAAAGAUGGUUUCGGCUAUCACUUACAGAUGGGCCCGCGGUGCAUUAGCUAGUUGGUGAGGUAACGGCUCACCAAGGCAACGAUGCAUAGCCGACCGGAGAGGGUGAGCGGCCGCACUGGGACUGAGACACGGCCCAGACUCCUAGGGGAGGCAGCAGUAGGGAAUCUUCCGCAAUGGACGAAAGUCUGACGGAGCAACGCCGCGUGAGUGAUGAAGGCUUUCGGGUCGUAAAACUCUGUUGUUAGGGAAGAACAAGUACGAGAGUAACUGCUCGUACCUUGACGGCACCUAACCAGAAAGCCACGGCUAACUACGUGCCAGCAGCCGCGGUAA